Heterocephalus glaber (naked mole-rat) is the source of this 275-nucleotide non-coding RNA. The record is from RefSeq and is a predicted model, not a curated record. NCBI's taxonomy places the organism in Eukaryota, Metazoa, Chordata, Mammalia, Rodentia, Bathyergidae.
AGGAGGAGGAAAAAGAAUUGAAGACAGAGAAGGAAUGAACAGGAGGAGAACAAUUUAGGAACAGAAAGAACCUAGAAACUACCUCCAGAAAGAGACUCCAGCAUCCCAAAAUCCAGUAACAGACUUGGCUUAACCAGUCAGGAGCAGCAGCACAAUGUAUGAGAAGACAUAGCAGAGACAAAAGUGAUGCCUCACCAGCAAUGAAGAAAAAAACUAAGUGAUAUUCCAAAGACUACUAGAAGAAAUAUGCCAAACUAUCAGUUUUCAAUACCCAA